UACGGGGGGAGCAAGCGUUGUUCGGAUUUACUGGGCGUAAAGGGCGCGUAGGCGGCCACUGCAAGUCAGUUGUGAAAUCUCCGGGCUUAACCCGGAAAGGUCAACUGAUACUGCAGGGCUAGAGUGCAGAAGGGGCAACUGGAAUUCUCGGUGUAGCGGUGAAAUGCGUAGAUAUCGAGAGGAACACCUGCGGCGAAGGCGGUUUGCUGGGCUGACACUGACGCUGAGGCGCGAAAGCCAGGGGAGCGAACGGG
Molecule: ribosomal RNA, 254 nt
Filed under: uncultured bacterium
Lineage: Bacteria
Description: partial 16S ribosomal RNA
Rfam family: Bacterial small subunit ribosomal RNA
Source: RNAcentral